RNAcentral lists this ribosomal RNA (448 nucleotides) under uncultured bacterium. RNAcentral describes it as "partial 16S ribosomal RNA". It matches the Rfam family "Bacterial small subunit ribosomal RNA", at positions 29 to 506 of the family's 1533-position model. The record is from RNAcentral.
GUGAAUGCUAGUGGUAUGCUUUACACAUGCAAGUUGAACGUAAUAUUAUAAAAAAAAUAUUAAGUAGCGUACGGGUGAGUAAAUGAAAGAAUUUAAUCUGUAGUACAGAAUAAAAAAUAGUAAUAUUUAUAUAAAUACUGUAUAAUAUGUACUAAAAAGUAUAUAUAAAGAUUUUUUCGCUACAGAAGAAGCUUUAGAAGGAUUAGGUAGUUGGAAGUGUAAGAGACUAACAAGCCAAAGAUCCUUAGUUGGUCUAAGAGGAUGAUCAGCCACAUUGGGACUGAAAAAGGCCCAAACUUCCAUGGAGGGCAGCAGUGGGGAAUAUUGGACAAUGGGCGAAAGCUUGAUCCAGCAAUAUCACAUGAGAGAUGAAGGCUUUAGUCGUAAAUCUAUUGUGUUAAGGAGGAUAAUGACGUGUACUUAACUAAGAAGUCCCGGCUAACUUCGU